GUAGAGUUCAGUAGAAAGCGUGCACUUGAAGAAGCAUUUGGAAGUAUUUGGAUAUGCUAAGUUCUUGCUGAUACUUCAGAUGUCUCAUCUUCUUAGAAGCCAAUUUGAUUUUGGCACAUGAGACUAUGCUUAGCUUAUAAAGAGAGUAGUUUGGAUGGUAUAGAGUAAUUAUGCAGAUUUAAAUACUUCAACGAGUAUUGCGGACUCCAGC
Molecule: unclassified non-coding RNA, 211 nt
Filed under: Hevea brasiliensis (rubber tree)
Lineage: Eukaryota; Viridiplantae; Streptophyta; Magnoliopsida; Malpighiales; Euphorbiaceae
Source: RNAcentral